UGGGGAAUCUUGCACAAUGGGGGAAACCCUGGUGCAGCGACGCCGCGUGAGCGAUGAAGGUUUUCGAAUCGUAAAGCUCUGUCCUAUGGGAAGAUAAUGACGGUACCAUGGGAGGAAGCCCCGGCUAACUACGUGCCAGCAGCCGCGGUAAUACGUAGGGGGCGAGCGUUGUCCGGAAUUACUGGGCGUAAAGGGUUCGCAGGCGGCAUGUAAAGUCCGAUGUAAAAGGCGAAGGCUCAACCUUCGUAAGCAUCGGAAACUGUCAAGCUUGAGUGAAGGAGAGGCAAGUAGAAUUCCUAGUGUAGCGGUGGAAUGCGUAGAUAUUAGGAGGAAUACCGGUGGCGAAGGCGACUUGCUGGACUUCAACUGACGCUGAGGAACGAAAGCGUGGGUAGCAAACAGG
This 403-nucleotide ribosomal RNA is filed under the name Fusobacteriota bacterium. RNAcentral describes it as "Fusobacteria bacterium partial 16S ribosomal RNA". It matches the Rfam family "Bacterial small subunit ribosomal RNA", at positions 355 to 776 of the family's 1533-position model. Lineage: Bacteria; Fusobacteriati; Fusobacteriota. The record is from RNAcentral.